RNAcentral lists this long non-coding RNA (1280 nucleotides) under Nicotiana tabacum (common tobacco). RNAcentral's name for it is "long non-coding RNA (NTAB_LNC009947)". The record is from RNAcentral. Lineage: Eukaryota; Viridiplantae; Streptophyta; Magnoliopsida; Solanales; Solanaceae.
GCACGAGACAUUAUUAAGUUCUAUAAAUAGGGGAGAAACAUUGUUUUCCUUUUUACAGUAAAAAACUGAAACUCCAAAUAGCUCAUCAAAAUGUUUUCCAAAACUAACCUUUUUCUUUGCCUUUCUUUGGCUAUUUUGCUAAUUGUAAUAUCCUCACAAGCUGAUGCAAGGGAGACGUCUAAGGCAGCUGCUCCAAUUUCCCAAGGUUUAUUUACUUCUUCUAUCUAUUACUACUCCAGUAGUUAUUUUCAUUUUUAACAUUUUGAGUCUGCGAACGGAUGUUAUAAAUGUUUAAAUAUUCAUGUAACAUUUGGCUUAGAAUUUUGUGAUAUUAAAUAUAUCAUAAUAUCUUAUAAAGAAAUCUCAUUAAUGAAAAAAUUGGAAUUUCGGAAUUAAAUAAUUAUUAAACGUUGGUAGCAUUCUUUGCUGGAGUGAUUUAAAAGGAAAGUAAAACACAUGAUUGAAACGAAGGGAGUAAAUGUUUACAUAAGUAUUAUUUAACAUUUUGCUGAAAGUUUAAUGUCGUUUUGAAACUUUCUGAGACCUUCUACCUGUAUAAUAUUUAGUAAUCUAAGGAUAUCGCAACACCGCAAAAGUUUUUCUUUUUAUCUUUAUUGAAUUUGGUGAUUACUUUUUAUAAUAGUUUAAAUUCUAUUGCUAGAGCAAGGACACUUCAUUUGAAGUAGCGACCUGUCCUGCCAAAUGUGUGAUCAUUUUAUUUAAAACUUAAGUUAUUAGAGGAGGAACCUACGUUCAUCCUAAUUUAUUUAUGUUUGCAGCACUGAGAAUUAAUAUGGUCAUAAAUUAAUUUCCUCCUUUAUUGGUUAACCUAUAACUAAUACAUUACUCUACAUAACCUAAUUUGAUGCAGAAAUGAAUUCAAACAACAUUACUGAUCAGAAGACGGGUGCCGGAAUCAUCCGUAAGAUACCAAAACGUCCAAAACCAGGAGGCAAUAUCGCCGGUGUGAGUUUAGUUUUGAGAAUAAAGGGAAAGUUAUGAAUAGCCUAAUAUAAUUCUAUUCACUUUCCUCUAGUUAAUUUCUCUUAGUUUGUGUUUUGUUUUGUUAGUAGUUCCUAUUGUUGCAACUUGCAACAAGUCUUGGGUCAACAUGUACCUCUUGUCUUGUAGUCUUUCGACCGUAUGAUAUUAUACGAUUUUUCUUUAGCCACUUGUUAUCUGAAACCAAAUCCAAUUAAAUCUAAUUCGCGUUGCAUAGGUUCUACUACAGUUAGACCUCUUUAUAACAUCUUUAUAUAAUAGUCAUUCAAUGUAAAAGC